RNAcentral lists this ribosomal RNA (468 nucleotides) under uncultured bacterium. RNAcentral describes it as "partial 16S ribosomal RNA". It matches the Rfam family "Bacterial small subunit ribosomal RNA", at positions 28 to 507 of the family's 1533-position model. The record is from RNAcentral.
GACGAACGCUGGCGGCGCGCCUAACACAUGCAAGUCGAACGGAGCUGCGAGAAGCUUGCUUUUCUUAGCUUAGUGGCGAACGGGUGAGUAACGCGUGAGUAACCUGCCCUGGAGUGGGGGACAACAGUUGGAAACGACUGCUAAUACCGCAUAAGCCCACGAUCCGGCAUCGGAUUGAGGGAAAAGGAUUUAUUCGCUUCAGGAUGGACUCGCGUCCAAUUAGCUAGUUGGUGAGGUAACGGCCCACCAAGGCGACGAUUGGUAGCCGGACUGAGAGGUUGAACCGCCACAAUGGGACUGAGAACCGGCCCCGACCCCUACGGGAGGCAGCAGUGGGGGAUAAUGCAAAAUGGGGGAAACCCUGAUGCAGCGACGGCGGGUGGAGGAAGAAGGUUUUCGGAUUGUAAACUCCUGUCGUUAGGGACGAUAAUGACGGUACCUAACAAGAAAGCACCGGCUAACUACGUG